GCCCUAUUAACUCAAUGGUAGAGUCCCCGCCUGUCUAGCGGGUUGCCAGCGGUUCGAUUCCGCUAUAGGGCGCCA
This 75-nucleotide transfer RNA is filed under the name Undibacterium sp. RNAcentral describes it as "tRNA-Asp". It matches the Rfam family "tRNA". From Rfam's summary of the family: Transfer RNA (tRNA) molecules are approximately 80 nucleotides in length. Their secondary structure includes four short double-helical elements and three loops (D, anti-codon, and T loops). RNAcentral also lists the same sequence under 3 other names. The record is from RNAcentral. Lineage: Bacteria; Pseudomonadati; Pseudomonadota; Betaproteobacteria; Burkholderiales; Oxalobacteraceae.